GGUGAGAGAACCCUAUUUUCUGGGUUGCAAGUCAAAACGCGAAACGCUCCGUCACUCUCUCUUCUGGGUUUUGUCGCUCCGUCGCUCUCUCUCUCUUUUCUACACUCUCCGUCAGCCAGUCGCUCUCUCACUAUUCGACAGGCUCUCUCUAGAUCAGUCGAUUGACUCGAUUCUCAGUCUCUCUCCGGCCAGCUCUUUAGCUCUCCAGCUCGGAGGUAAACUCGAUUCUCAGUCUUUCUAGGUUUUACUUUCAAUCGAAUUUAUGGGGCUUUCUAGGUUUGAUUUUGGGCUGGAUUUCUGGGUUUGAUUUUGGGUUGGGUUUCUGGGUUCAAGGCUUCAAGGCUUCAAGCUCGGUGAUUCUUCAACCUCGAAGCUUGGUGAUUCUUCAUUCUUCAAGCUUGAUUUUUGGGUUCAA
This 415-nucleotide long non-coding RNA is filed under the name Rosa chinensis. RNAcentral describes it as "sRNA RchiOBHm_Chr2g0110341". The record is from RNAcentral. Lineage: Eukaryota; Viridiplantae; Streptophyta; Magnoliopsida; Rosales; Rosaceae.